GCAUGGAAUUGUAAUACAAACAAGUUGUGUGAUGUCAGGAUCAGGGGUCAAGGUGUGUGUAACCGUCAUCAUCAUCCACUGGUGCAUUUUGAACAGGAAGAAGGUGCUAGUCAUAAUACAGUAUCUGCAAACACUCUGAACACCUUAUUGAAUAUCAGUACUGUGUACAGUAACACUCAACCUAUAACAGUACUGUGGGAUUCAGGUUCUGACAUAACCUUGGUGACACACAGUAUGGCAGAAAAACUAAGUUUGAAGGGUAAGGAUGUGAAUUUAUCCAUGAUCAAGGUUGGCAAUGUAAUUGAACAUCAUUCUACCAAAGAAUAUUGCAUACCACUGAUUGAUAGGACUGGGCAUGUAUGGGAAAUUAAUGCCAUUGGUAUAGAGGAAAUAUCUGCUAAAAUCAAUGAAAUUAAUGUGUCAGGAGUUAAGGAGUUAUUUGUAGGAGUAUCAAACCAUGAUAUUAAUUGCCCUUGUGGUGAGAUUGACAUGCUGAUUGGGGCCAAUUACAGUGAAUUAUUGCCUAAAGUUGUUCAGACUAAUGAAGGUCUUCAAUUGCUAGAGAAUCCAUUUGGAUUCAGUAUACGUGGCAGACACAGCAAAAUAACAGCCUCAGGGAGCACGACGAACCAUGUGAUUGUGAGAACUCACAAGGUGUCAAGCUCAAUAAGCCUCAAUGAGAUCAAGGUAGAACCUACAGAUAAACUUAAGUCACAAUUAGAUAAAUUCUUUGCUUUAGAGGAGAGUGGGGUGCAGUGUGACACAAGAUGCCUUAAAUGCCUGUGUAAGGGUUGUCCUGUAAGUGACUGUGUCAAUAUUAAGGAAGAAAGAGAACUGAAAUUGAUUGAGGAGGGAUUAGUAUAUCAUGAAGAAGGGAAGUAUUGGACAGCAAGCUAUCCUUGGAUAAGGGACCCGAGACAUCUUAAGAACAAUGUAAAAGUGGCCGUGGCUAGAUUAAAAACUACAGAAAAUAGACUGAAAAUAUUGGAUAUCCAGUAUGCCCAGAGUUAUCACAAUGAAAUCAAAGACAUGGUGAAAAGGGGGGUAGCGAGACAAUUAAGUGAAGAGGAAAUGCAGUCAUACAAUGGCCCAAUUCACUACAUUUCCCAUCAUGAAGUAUUGAAACCAGAUUCUGCUUCAACACCUCUGCAUAUUGUAUUUAACUCAUCUUCAUCAUACAUGGGACAAAAACUUAAUGAUUUUUGGGCAAAAGGGCCAGUUGUUCUUAACAACAUGAUUGGAGUCUUGCUAAGAUUUAGACAGGAAAGGGUUGCCAUAACUGGUGAUAUAUCAAAAAUGUAUCAUUCUGUGAAAAUCAACACACUGGACCAACACACACACCGAUUUCUUUGGAGAGAUUUAAACAGUAACAGACCACCUGAUCACUAUGCCCUGACCUCAGUGACUUUCGGGGAUAGGCCAAGUGGGACCAUAGCUGUGCUAGCAUUAAGGCAUACUACAGAAAAAUUUGGUAAAGGAGAUCCUGAAGUUUAUAACAUGAUUGUAAACAACACAUAUGUUGAUGAUAUUCUCUAUUCCAUUGAUACGGUAGAAAAGGCUUUUGAUUUGAUACAAAGAGCAGAACAUGUAAUAUCUCUUGGAAACUUUCAUGUGAAGCAUUGGAUAGUAAGUGGGCAACAUGAGAACCAUAGUAUCAACAUCAUGGAAUCUGACAAUGAGAAAAUUCUAGGGCUCAAGUGGAAUCCCAAGGAUGAUAAUUUCUCUUUUAAUGUUAAGGUAAAUUUCUCUCCUAAAGUUAAAAAGAUCCGGAGUGGUCCAAACUGGGAUCAUAGAGAGAUUAAGCCAAACUUCCCUGAGGUGCUAACUCGCAGAAGGAUACUAAGUCAAGUGGCAUCCUUCUAUGAUCCAUUGGGGUUAGCUGUACCAGUUGUGUUGAGAGCAAAAAUUUUAAUGAGAUCUAUGAUCUCAAAAUGUGAUCCAAAUAAGAGAGUGGAAUGGGAUGAACCAUUAGAUGCCGAUAUUGUAAAUGAAUGGAAAUGUUUUUUCACUGAUUUGUAUGGAGUAGAAAACUGCACAUUUAAGAGACCUCUGAAACCAGCCAAUGCAUCAGGUAAACCCAUACUUGUGAUCUUCUCUGAUGGCAGCACACAAGCGUAUGGAGCAUGUGCGUAUGUUAGAUGGCAGACUGAUGACAACAAAUUUCAGACUAAUUUGAUCAUGGCUAAAAACAAAAUAGCACCUAUGAGACAAUUGACCAUUCCUCGUCUAGAACUUUGUGGAGCUCUUUUGUCAGCUAGAUUAAGAGAAACUAUAGUGAGAGAAUGCAACUGGGAAUUUGAAUCCAUAUUCCAUAUUGUAGAUUCAUCUAUUGUCAGAGAUCAGAUUCAAAAGGAAUUGCAUGGGUUCCGGCCCUUUGUGGCUGUCCGCAUAGCAGAAAUACAACUGAAAACAAAUCUAAAGGAUUGGUGGUGGGUGGACACAGUUCAGAAUGUGGCAGAUUUAACUUCUAGACCAUGCACUUCAGAUAAGAUUAAGGAGGAUUCAACUUGGCAACAUGGGCCUGAAUUUUUGAGAUUGCCAAUUUCAGAAUGGCCAGUUAAACAGCAAUGUGCAGAUCACUUACCGGAUAGAAUAGGCAUUACUAUGACAGUUGCUAAAGGACAUCUGAGAAAUUUAAGCAUGAUUAAUGUGAAAGGAUUUAGCAAAUAUGAAACUUUGUCGAGAGUUACAUGUAGGAUAAUGUCUAUAUUCAAACAUAAAUCCUUAAAAGCUGUGCUGAAGGAGCCUACGUCUGAGGAAAUGGAAGAAGUAGAAGUACUGUGGGUAAAAACCAUGCAAAGUAACAUGACUAACUGGCAAGACAGAUACAGAAGGUUAGGCCCCAUAAUGACAGACAAUGGAGUAAUUUUAGUGGGUCAAAGAAUAUCAAAAUGGUUAAAGGAAAACUGGAAUCAAGAUCACUUCAUGUUGAUACCAGCUAACCACCCAGUUACUAGACUGUAUGUGUCCAGCUUACAUAGUAGAGAUCAUGCAGGUAUUGAAACCACCUUGGCCAAGUUACAGAGUAAGUUUUGGGUGCCGGGAGCCAGGAAAUUAAUAAAGUCAAUUAAAGAUAAAUGUGUCACAUGUAGAAAACUCUCAAAACAAACUGAGAACCAGUGUAUGGGUCAGGUGUUAGAAGAAAGAAUGAAGCCAACUCCACCAUUCUAUCAUACUGCUGUCGAUUUGUUUGGACCAUUCAAUAUUAAGGACACUGUUAAAAGGAGAACUCAUGGUAAGGUAUAUGGGGUAAUAUUCAACUGCUUAGUUACUAGGGCAGUUUAUGUAGAUUUGGCAGAAGGAUAUAGUGCAAGUGAUUUCAUGGCAACUUAUCAAAGAUUCAUCUCAGUCAGGGGUGCACCCAGAAUACUGUAUUCUGACAGAGGGAGCCAGCUGAUAGCAGCUGGAAAGAAUAUUGAAAGAAUUGGAAAAAAUGAAGGAGUUACUUGGAAAUAUAAUAGACCUAGUGAUGCACCAUGGUACAAUGGUGCCAGUGAAUCCCUUAUCAAAUCAGUGAAAAGAAAUCUUUGUAUUGCAAUUGGGGAUUCAGUAUUAACUUUUGGUGAACUUCAGACAGCCUUAUUUAAUGUAGCCAGUAUGAUGAAUGAAAGACCCAUAGGGGUAAAACCUUGCUUUAAUUUAGAACUUGGUAAUUACCUCUGCCCUAAUGAUCUAUUGCUUGGACGAGCUAGUGUAAAAUGUCCACAGGGAAUAUAUGAUUCAGAUGGAGACCAUAAAAGAAGAUUAGAGUUUAUUCAGAAAAUUGUUGAAUCAUUUUGGAGAAAAUGGCAGAGAGAUUUCUUUCCAACGAUGGUAGUAAGACAAAAAUGGCACACCAAUAGGAGAAAUGUAAGAGUGGGUGAUGUGGUUUUAGUUCAAGAUGCUAAUGCAGUUAGAGGUACCUGGAAAUUAGCUCAAGUAAUAAAGGCAGAUCCAGGUCGUGAUGGUGCUGUAAGAGAUGUAGACUUAAGGUAUAAGAUAGUCAAGGAAGGUAAAGGAUAUGAUGGGGUGACAGACAAAGUCAUGAGUAGGUCAGUGCAUAGGUUAAUAGUGUUAUUACCUAAGGAAGAACAAGAGUGAUGAUGAGCGUGUAGGAUCAUUAUAGAUAUGAUUUAUCUACAUGUACCAAAGCAUUCUAUGUACUACCUGUGUAUAUUGUAUGUUCACUUUGGUCGGGGUGGAGUGUAUCAUUAAAAUGAUAUGUUAACCAUCUAUUAUUUAUUUAUACAAUAUAUUUUUGUUAUCUGUGUUAAAGAAAAUGUAAGUUGUGUUCUAUUGGAAUAGGAGAAGUUUGGUACGCUUCUUUGUGGUGUUUUGUUUCACCCACUACCUGUGAACAUGGUCGGCCUGGCGGGUUGUCUAAGCCGGCCCACCAAUGUACUGUGGGUUGUUGUGUUGGGUAGUCCUCUGUGCUACAGACGGAGAAUGUAGGGACGCCCUGGACCUCAUGUCGGUUGGUGUGUUGGUUGGUCCUCCGUGCUACAGACAGAGUUGUGAGGACGCCCUGGACUGGAUGAUAGUUGGGGUGACAUGUCAGGUGUGCUACGGGGAUUCGAAGAGCGUCAGUGUGGGCCACUGAAGUCGAAACACUUCAAGCAAUAAACACCUGUUACGAUUUGUGGUUUAUUACACAUUUGGAAUCCCCAACAUUUCGACUUCAACCACAAUGGGCUGGCAAGAGGAGAUGGAAUUGUUAAAGAGGAAGAGGGCCAUUGCCAAGGGGAAAUUCACAAGAAAGGUGACCCUGCUGGAUGAGGGUGUACGGGAAGGUGAGCCAGUAUCAGUAUUGAAGAAUAACUAUGAACAGAUUUCUGAGGCCUUUCAACACCUAGAAGACAGUAAUGAUGUGAUAUUAAAAUAUGUGUGUGAUAAUAAAUUAGAAGACAAGUUAGUUAAGGAGGCUGAAGAAUACAUGAUAGAUUGUGAAAGAAUCAUGAAGAAAAGACUAACAGAAAUUAGUAGCAUUGAAAACAUACAGAACAGUGUCAAGCCUAAAGUAAAGAUAAAGGCAUUUGAGCCUCCUAAAUUUGAUGGGAAUUUAAGAAAGUACCCUCGUUUUAAGGAGGACUUUAAAAAUCUAGUCAAAAGUGUGUAUGGUGAAGAUGCGUAUGCAUUGAAAAUGUGUCUCAGUGGUGAUGCCCUUCAGACUGUCAGAGGUGCAGAAGGUAAUUAUGAAGAGAUGUUUGAAAGGUUAGAUGACAAGUUUGGAAAUGCGAGAAAGGUGGUGGACUUGGUAAUAAGUGACCUUAGGGCUUUGAAAAGGAUCAAUGAAGGUGAUACCAAAGGAUUUAUAAGGAUGGUGGAUCAGGUGGAACAGUGUUGGCUAGAUUUGAAAAAUAUAAACUUGAAUGAGGAACUUAAUAUUGCUAAUGUAGUCAGUCAUAUUGAGAAGGUGUUGCCCACACUUCAGAAGAGGGAGUGGGUAAUAAAGGCAGAAGAAGUA
Molecule: RNA transcript, 5443 nt
Organism: Scylla paramamosain (green mud crab)
Lineage: Eukaryota; Metazoa; Arthropoda; Malacostraca; Decapoda; Portunidae
Exons: 4
Source: RefSeq, a predicted model, not a curated record